RNAcentral lists this ribosomal RNA (253 nucleotides) under uncultured bacterium. RNAcentral's name for it is "partial 16S ribosomal RNA". It matches the Rfam family "Bacterial small subunit ribosomal RNA", at positions 524 to 776 of the family's 1533-position model. The record is from RNAcentral.
UACGUAGGGUGCGAGCGUUAAUCGGAAUUACUGGGCGUAAAGCGUGCGCAGGCGGUUUUGUAAGUCAGCUGUGAAAGCCCCGGGCUUAACCUGGGAACUGCGGUUGAAACUACAGGACUAGAAUCUGGCAGAGGGGGGUGGAAUUCCACGUGUAGCAGUGAAAUGCGUAGAGAUGUGGAGGAACACCGAUGGCGAAGGCAGCCCCCUGGGCUGAGAUUGACGCUCAGGCACGAAAGCGUGGGGAGCAAACAGG